RNAcentral lists this ribosomal RNA (497 nucleotides) under uncultured bacterium. RNAcentral describes it as "partial 16S ribosomal RNA". It matches the Rfam family "Bacterial small subunit ribosomal RNA", at positions 28 to 507 of the family's 1533-position model. The record is from RNAcentral.
GAUGAACGCUGGCGGCGUGCCUAAUACAUGCAAGUCGAGCGAACAGACGAGGAGCUUGCUCCUCUGACGUUAGCGGCGUACGGGUGAGUAACACGUGGAUAACCUACCUAUAAGACUGGGAUAACUUCGGGAAACCGGAGCUAAUACCGGAUAAUAUAUUGAACCGCAUGGUUCAAUAGUGAAAGACGGUUUUGCUGUCACUUAUAGAUGGAUCCGCGCCGCAUUAGCUAGUUGGUAAGGUAACGGCUUACCAAGGCAACGAUGCGUAGCCGACCUGAGAGGGUGAUCGGCCACACUGGAACUGAGACACGGUCCAGACUCCUACGGGAGGCAGCAGUAGGGAAUCUUCCGCAAUGGGCGAAAGCUUGACGGAGCAACGCCGCGUGAGUGAUGAAGGUCUUCGGAUCGUAAAACUCUGUUAUUAGGGAAGAACAAAUGUGUAAGUAACUAUGCACGUCUUGACGGUACCUAAUCAGAAAGCCACGGCUAACUACGUG